This 3999-nucleotide unclassified non-coding RNA is filed under the name Haliotis rubra (blacklip abalone). Its description in RNAcentral is "puromycin-sensitive aminopeptidase-like, transcript variant X2". Lineage: Eukaryota; Metazoa; Mollusca; Gastropoda; Lepetellida; Haliotidae. The record is from RNAcentral.
AGAAGGGAGGUAACUUCGUACGUGUUAAUUCCAGCUUGAACAUUCACAAACGGCACUAUGCAAGAAAAACGAGAGUUCAAACGUCUUCCAAAGGAUGUCGUUCCUUCCAACUACAACAUUCGGCUGAAACCAGAUCUAGAUGCAUUUGUAUUUCAGGGGCAGGAAGCAAUAGAUGUUGAGGUAAAGAAGCCAACAGACACUGUGACAGUCAACUCACUCAACAUCAAAAUCAGCGAGGUGACAUAUCAUGCACAUGAAGGUGGUGACAGCUCCUUGGUGGCUGAAGUGUCAACUGACAAGGAGGCGGAGACGGCCACUUUCAAGUUCCCCUCGGCCCUACAGCCAGGUAAAGGUGUGCUGAAGGUGAGCUUCACCGGUGAACUCAACGACAAGAUGGCUGGUUUCUAUCGCAGCAGGUACACCAUGCCUGAUGGAGGAAAGAGAGUUGGGGCAGUCACACAUUUUGAGGCAACGGGAGCUCGCCAAGCUUUCCCUGGCUGGGACGAACCUGCGGUCAAGGCCACUUUUGACAUUACACUUGUUGUACCCAAGGAUAAAACAGCGCUCAGCAAUAUGCCUGUCAAGUCUGACACCCCGGAUAAGGAUCCAAACUGGCGCGUGGUGGAGUAUGACAGAACACCCAUCAUGUCCACAUACCUACUGGCAUUCAUUGUGGGGGACUACGACUACGUAGAGGGCAAAGACGUGGACGGUGUCGUCGUGAGAGUCUACACACCUGUGGGCAAGAAGGAGCAGGGCAAGUUUGCCCUUGAUGUUGCUGUGAAAACCCUGCCCUUCUACAAAGAAUACUUUGGCAUCCCGUACCGAUUACCUAAGGUGGAUCUUAUAGCUCUUGCAGACUUUCUCAUAGGUGCAAUGGAAAAUUGGGGUCUCGUAACGUACAGAGAGACGGCACUGCUGGUGGAUCCCACAAACUCCUCUGCAAAUGUCAAGCAAUACGUGGCACUGGUUGUAGGACAUGAGCUGGCUCAUAUGUGGUUCGGGAACCUGGUCACAAUGGAAUGGUGGACCAACUUAUGGCUAAAGGAAGGUUUCACGUCCUGGAUCGAGUAUCUGUGUGUGGACGAGUGUUUCCCUGAGUAUGACAUCUGGACUCAGUUUGUCAACAUCGAUCUGGGCCGAGCCCUGGAGCUGGAUGCCCUUCACACCAGUCACCCUGUUGAGGUCCCGGUCGGCCAUCCAGCGGAGGUGGACGAGAUCUUUGAUGCCAUCUCCUACUGCAAGGGAGCUUCUGUCAUCAGGAUGCUGCACGACUACCUGGGGGACGAGGAUUUCCGUAAAGGAAUGAACAAGUACCUGACGAAGCACUCCUAUCAGAACACGGAGUCCGAGGAUCUGUGGGCUUCCUUGGGAGAAGCCAGCAGGAAGCCAGUGGCCAAGAUGAUGAACACUUGGACCAAACAGAUGGGCUUCCCUGUCAUCAAGGUGAAUGAGAGACAGGAUGGAGACAAGCGGGUUCUCACGGUCACACAGGAGAAGUUCUGUGCUGACGGUAACCUACCUACAGACGACAAGUCCAGCUGGUGGGUUCCCAUUAGCUUCUCCACUGCCAGCAGCCCCUCCACCCCAGUCAAGACCAUCAUGCUGGAGGGGAAGAGUUCAGAGGUCACACUGGACAAUGUCAAGGCUGGAGAAUGGGUCAAGGUCAACACCAACACAGUGGGUGUGUACAGAGUACAGUACCCUACAGAGAUGCUAGCAGCUCUGAUCCCGGCUGUCAAGGACAGAUCCCUUCCUCCCAGAGACAGACUCGGACUGCAGAGUGACCUCUUUGCACUGGCCCGAGCUGGCAUGGCAGCAUCCGAGGACGUACUGAAGGUGGUCGAGGCCUUCAUCAACGAGGACAACUACACAGUGUGGAACGACCUUGCCCUUAACCUUUCCAGCAUGGCCGUCCUACUCCAGUACACAGACUCUUAUGACCUUUACAAGACCUUCGCCCGUGACCUCUUCUCUCAGGUGGUCAAGACCGUGGGCUGGGACAAGAAGGAGGGUGAAAGUCAUCUAACAGCCAUGUUGCGAGAUCUCAUCCUGACCAAGAUGGGUCGCUAUGGUGACGAGCCGACAGUAGCAGAGGCCAGGAAGAGGUUUGAGAGUCACUGCAGUGGAGAUAAAGUCAUCCCUCCUGAUCUCAGGGCUCCGGUGUUCAUCACAGUUUUGUCUGAAGACAGGAGUGAGGACUUCAACAGGUUGAUGGAGCUCUAUGACAAGGCAGACAUGCAAGAGGAGAAGAUACGGAUAGCACGAGCUCUUGGGGCAGUCAAGAAAGAAGAACUUAUCAAUCGUGUCCAUGAAUUUGCUGCCAGUGACAAGGUCCGUGCACAAGACAAAGUGUCUGUGCUUGCUGGGACCACUGGCUCAGCCAAGGGGAGAGAACUCACUUGGAACUUUGUGAAAGAGAAUUGGAAAGACCUACGUGAAAAACAUCAUGGGCAUCUGUUAACAAGGCUUGUCAAGGCAUCAACACACAACUUUGCUACUGAGGAGAUGGCCAAGGAGGUUGAGGAAUUCUUCAAUGCCAACCCAACCCCAGCUGCAGAAAGGACAGUGCAGCAGUCGGUGGAGAAUAUCCGACUCAACACGCGGUGGAUGAAAGAAUCGGCAGACAAAGUUUGCCAGUUUCUAAAAAAUAGAAAUUAAGAUCUCGAGAAAUUGAUAGUUUUGCAAUUUGAGAGUUUCCUUGGACAAAACAAGGGUGUCAGGAAUUUAAAAACAUAUUUUGUGGAUAUUAUAUUUUUCUUGGCACUUUUUUGUGAAGCGAUUAUUUUCCUAAUACAUGUGUAUCUUUGUAUUUUUAUACUUACUUUGAGCGAUUAUGGUAUCUUCAAAUUUUCAAGUAUUUUGUAAUGUAUAAGUUGUAUCCAAACAUUAAUUUCACCUUGGAGAUAUGAUUUAAUUAUUUUGGUGACAAACAAUCCAGGAGGAUAUUGUCAUAUGGUGAAGUAUACAUUGAUUGAUAGAGUUAUCUUCCCUUGGCUGACCUCCGACAACUUUAUUAUUCUGGUGCUCUUACUUCAUUAUUAGAUGCAUGUGUCCCAUAGGAUAUGGUCACACCCCAAUAAGAGUUGCCAUGGCAAUGUGCAUGAAUUGUGAAAUCCAUUCAGGUGAAUUUGAAGACAAGAUGACGUUCCACUGACGCAGAAUUGGGAUGACGUUCCACUGACACAACCUUGAGCACAUGUUUUUCUGACACAACCUUGAGCACAAGUUCCCCUUAUGCAUCCUUAAGGUCAAGUUCCCCUGAAUUGUUAUAACUUAUUCAAAGAUUGAAAUAUUGUGACAUUAUGUUUUGUUUUAUGAAAUACUUCUUUAUCUAAUGGUUACAAACAGUUAUACGGUUGAUUGUUUUCAUAAUGCUAUUUAUAUGACUAAUUACAAAUUUGACAACUGUUAAGUUUUCUUCCCCUUAUGUUGUUGUAUUUGUUGAUUUUACAUGUUUGUUAGUUUCCUUUUCAUUCAGUGUCUUGAGGAUAUGCAUUAGUUAGUAAUAUAAGGGCUGUGUUUCUGUAAGAGAGUUAUGUCCCUUUGCCCAACAAGGAUCCCCGUUCCUGAUUCAUCCUGAUUAUGAACUGUGCUUUGUCAGCAUCUAUUCUAUUUGUGGCUGAAAAAUCAUCAAAAGCUCCAACAAUCUAGUAUUUGCAUGACAGAUUUAAUGUCAUUACAAACAUAUCUAUCAGUAUUAGGUCAUACUGUCACAGUAACUCCUAUAUCCCAUGGGCAAGAUGAAAUACUACUGAAAGAACUUUCUCUCUUCAGAGAGUACUCCACGAUCCAGAGAUCGAUAUUGUGAGCAACUAUGCGCACUUUUGAGGACACUGGCACUCAAUCAACCAUAUCAUUGAGCCCCACCACCCAAUCUGUUAAGUGAGUGGGGGGCGGUGGGGUAGUCUAGUGUUUAAAGAGUUGGCUCGUCACGCCGAAGACCCGGGUUCGAAUCCCCACAUGGGUACAAUGUGUGAAGCCCAUUUCUGGUGUCCC